CACGUAGGGCGCAAGCGUUGUCCGGAAUUAUUGGGCGUAAAGAGCUCGUAGGCGGUCUGUUGCGUCCGCUGUGAAAACUCGGGGCUUAACCCCGAGCCUGCAGUGGAUACGGGCAGACUAGAGGUAGGUAGGGGAGAAUGGAAUUCCCGGUGUAGCGGUGAAAUGCGCAGAUAUCGGGAGGAACACCGGUGGCGAAGGCGGUUCUCUGGGCCUUACCUGACGCUGAGGCGCGAAAGCUAGGGGAGCAAACGGG
This 253-nucleotide ribosomal RNA is filed under the name uncultured bacterium. RNAcentral's name for it is "partial 16S ribosomal RNA". It matches the Rfam family "Bacterial small subunit ribosomal RNA", at positions 524 to 776 of the family's 1533-position model. The record is from RNAcentral.